This 626-nucleotide ribosomal RNA is filed under the name Salmonella enterica subsp. enterica serovar Hadar. RNAcentral describes it as "partial 23S ribosomal RNA". It matches the Rfam family "Bacterial large subunit ribosomal RNA", at positions 711 to 1333 of the family's 2925-position model. The record is from RNAcentral. Lineage: Bacteria; Pseudomonadati; Pseudomonadota; Gammaproteobacteria; Enterobacterales; Enterobacteriaceae.
AGACCCGAAACCCGGUGAUCUAGCCAUGGGCAGGUUGAAGGUUGGGUAACACUAACUGGAGGACCGAACCGACUAAUGUUGAAAAAUUAGCGGAUGACCUGUGGCUGGGGGUGAAAGGCCAAUCAAACCGGGAGAUAGCUGGUUCUCCCCGAAAGCUAUUUAGGUAGCGCCUCGUGAAUUCAUCUCCGGGGGUAGAGCACUGUUUCGGCUAGGGGGCCAUCCCGGCUUACCAACCCGAUGCAAACUGCGAAUACCGGAGAAUGUUAUCACGGGAGACACACGGCGGGUGCUAACGUCCGUCGUGAAGAGGGAAACAACCCAGACCGCCAGCUAAGGUCCCAAAGUCAUGGUUAAGUGGGAAACGAUGUGGGAAGGCCCAGACAGCCAGGAUGUUGGCUUAGAAGCAGCCAUCAUUUAAAGAAAGCGUAAUAGCUCACUGGUCGAGUCGGCCUGCGCGGAAGAUGUAACGGGGCUAAACCAUGCACCGAAGCUGCGGCAGCGACGCUGAUGCGUUGUUGGGUAGGGGAGCGUUCUGUAAGCCUGUGAAGGUGUGUCGUGAGGCAUGCUGGAGGUAUCAGAAGUGCGAAUGCUGACAUAAGUAACGAUAAAGCGGGUGAAAAGCCCGC